Molecule: ribosomal RNA, 497 nt
Filed under: uncultured bacterium
Lineage: Bacteria
Description: partial 16S ribosomal RNA
Rfam family: Bacterial small subunit ribosomal RNA
Source: RNAcentral
GAUGAACGCUGGCGGCGUGCCUAACACAUGCAAGUCGAGCGAACGGACCAGAAGCUUGCUUUUCGGAUGUUAGCGGCGGACGGGAGAGUAACACGUGUAUAACCUACCUAUAAGACUGGGAUAACCUCGGGAAACCGGAGCUAAUACCGGAGAAUAUUUUGAACCGCAGUGUUCAAAAGUGAAAUUCGGUCGUUCGGUCACUUAUAGAUGGAUCCGCGCUGGUUUAGCUAGUUGGUAAGGUAACGGCUUACCAAGGCAACGAUGCAUAGCCGACCUGAGAGGGUGGUCGGCGACCCUGGAGGUGAGACACGGUCCAGACUCCUACGGGAGGGAGCAGUCGAGAAUCUUACGCAAUGGGGUAGAGCCUGACAGAGCAGCGGCGCGUGAGUGAUGAAGGUCUUCGGAUCGUGAAGCUCUGUUAUUAGGUAAGAACAUAUGUGUAAGUAACUGUGCCCAUAUUGACGGUACCUGAUAAGAAAGCCCCGGCUAACUACGUG